UAGCCGCAGAAAGCUGUGCUAAGGUAGCAUAAUCAUUUGUCUUUUAAUUUAAGACUAGAAUGAACGGUUAAACGAAUAAAAAAUUGUCCUUGCUUAAUUUCAUAAAACUAUACUUUUUAUAAAAAUAUAAAAAUACCAAAAGAAGACGACAAGACCCUAUUGAACUUUACUCAAGUUCUACUGGGGCAGUAUAUUAACAAUUGUUUUAAACUUUAUCCUUUACAUUUAUCUUUUAAACCACAAAUCAAGUUACCAUAGGGAUAACAGCGCAAUUUACUUUUAUAGCUCUUAUAAAAAAAUAAGAUUACGACCUCGAUGUUGAAUUAAUUAACCUUCUCGAAGCAAAAAUCUAAAAGGAAGACUGUUCGUCUAUUAAAUUAUUACAUGAUCUG
Molecule: ribosomal RNA, 392 nt
Filed under: Barusia sp. 2 HZ-2020
Lineage: Eukaryota; Metazoa; Arthropoda; Arachnida; Araneae; Leptonetidae
Description: partial large subunit ribosomal RNA
Rfam family: Bacterial large subunit ribosomal RNA
Source: RNAcentral